This 324-nucleotide ribosomal RNA is filed under the name uncultured bacterium. RNAcentral's name for it is "bacterial SSU rRNA". It matches the Rfam family "Bacterial small subunit ribosomal RNA", at positions 28 to 334 of the family's 1533-position model. The record is from RNAcentral.
GAUGAACGCUGGCGGCGUGCUUAACACAUGCAAGUCGAACGAGAAUCAGUGGAUUGAGGAUUCGUCCAAAUGAAACUGAGGAAAGUGGCGGACGGGUGAGUAACGCGUGAGCAAUCUGCCUUGGAGUGGGGAAUAACGGCUGGAAACAGCCGCUAAUACCGCAUGAUACAGUUGGGAGGCAUCUCUCUGACUGUCAAAGAUUUAUCGCUCUGAGAUGAGCUCGCGUCUGAUUAGCUGGUUGGCGGGGUAACGGCCCACCAAGGCGACGAUCAGUAGCCGGACUGAGAGGUUGGCCGGCCACAUUGGGACUGAGACACGGCCCAG